This 618-nucleotide ribosomal RNA is filed under the name uncultured bacterium. Its description in RNAcentral is "bacterial SSU rRNA". It matches the Rfam family "Bacterial small subunit ribosomal RNA", at positions 202 to 810 of the family's 1533-position model. The record is from RNAcentral.
UAAAUAUCCCACGGGAUAGCUGAAGGAUGGACUUAUGGCGCAUUAGCUAGUUGGUAGGGUAACGGCCUACCAAGGCGACGAUGCGUAGCCGACCUGAGAGGGUGGACGGCCACACUGGGACUGAGACACGGCCCAGACUCCUACGGGAGGCAGCAGUAGGGAAUUUUCGGCAAUGGGGGAAACCCUGACCGAGCAACGCCGCGUGAGGGAGGAAGUAUUUCGGUAUGUAAACCUCUGUUAUAAAGGAAGAACGGUGCAUGUAGGGAAUGACAUGCAAGUGACGGUACUUUAUGAGGAAGCCACGGCUAACUACGUGCCAGCAGCCGCGGUAAUACGUAGGUGGCGAGCGUUAUCCGGAAUUAUUGGGCGUAAAGAGGGAGCAGGCGGCAGCUAAGGUCUGCGGUGAAAGCCCGAAGCUAAACUUCGGUAAGCCGUGGAAACCGAGCAGCUAGAGUGCAGUAGAGGAUCGUGGAAUUCCAUGUGUAGCGGUGAAAUGCGUAGAUAUAUGGAGGAACACCAGUGGCGAAGGCGACGAUCUGGGCUGCAACUGACGCUCAGUCCCGAAAGCGUGGGGAGCAAAUAGGAUUAGAUACCCUAGUAGUCCACGCCGUAAACGAU